RNAcentral lists this ribosomal RNA (1128 nucleotides) under Bacillus sp. NCCP-919. Its description in RNAcentral is "bacterial SSU rRNA". It matches the Rfam family "Bacterial small subunit ribosomal RNA", at positions 56 to 1162 of the family's 1533-position model. The record is from RNAcentral. Lineage: Bacteria; Bacillati; Bacillota; Bacilli; Caryophanales; Bacillaceae.
UGCAGUCGAGCGGACAGAUGGGAGCUUGCUCCCUGAUGUUAGCGGCGGACGGGUGAGUAACACGUGGGUAACCUGCCUGUAAGACUGGGAUAACUCCGGGAAACCGGGGCUAAUACCGGAUGGUUGUUUGAACCGCAUGGUUCAAACAUAAAAGGUGGCUUCGGCUACCACUUACAGAUGGACCCGCGGCGCAUUAGCUAGUUGGUGAGGUAACGGCUCACCAAGGCAACGAUGCGUAGCCGACCUGAGAGGGUGAUCGGCCACACUGGGACUGAGACACGGCCCAGACUCCUACGGGAGGCAGCAGUAGGGAAUCUUCCGCAAUGGACGAAAGUCUGACGGAGCAACGCCGCGUGAGUGAUGAAGGUUUUCGGAUCGUAAAGCUCUGUUGUUAGGGAAGAACAAGUACCGUUCGAAUAGGGCGGUACCUUGACGGUACCUAACCAGAAAGCCACGGCUAACUACGUGCCAGCAGCCGCGGUAAUACGUAGGUGGCAAGCGUUGUCCGGAAUUAUUGGGCGUAAAGGGCUCGCAGGCGGUUUCUUAAGUCUGAUGUGAAAGCCCCCGGCUCAACCGGGGAGGGUCAUUGGAAACUGGGGAACUUGAGUGCAGAAGAGGAGAGUGGAAUUCCACGUGUAGCGGUGAAAUGCGUAGAGAUGUGGAGGAACACCAGUGGCGAAGGCGACUCUCUGGUCUGUAACUGACGCUGAGGAGCGAAAGCGUGGGGAGCGAACAGGAUUAGAUACCCUGGUAGUCCACGCCGUAAACGAUGAGUGCUAAGUGUUUAGGGGGUUUCCGCCCCUUAGUGCUGCAGCUAACGCAUUAAGCACUCCGCCUGGGGGAGUACGGUCGCAAGACUGAAACUCAAAGGAAUUGACGGGGGCCCGCACAAGCGGUGGAAGCAUGUGGUUUAAUUCGAAGCAACGCGAAGAACCUUACCAGGUCUUGACAUCCUCUGACAAUCCUAGAAGAUAGGACGUCCCCUUCGGGGGCAGAGUGACAGGUGGUUGCAUGGUUGUCGUCAGCUCGUGUCGUGAGAAGUUUGGGUUAAGUCCCGCAACGAGCGCAACCCUUGAUCUUAGUUGCCAGCAUUCAGUUGGGCACUCUAAGGUGACUGCCGGUGACAAA